AUUAAGAGGAGGUGUGAACAACCAUACUGUGUCCAGAUGGAAAGCAACACAGAGUGAUUACUUUCUGACUUGGGAGCCAGAAGCAUUCUUAGCAGAGCAAGCAAUAAGUAAACAAAAACCCAUUAAAGCUACGGGAGGACGAAGAGGUCUGUGACCUGUGGAAUAGAAAACAGUGGGAAGAAUGUGAGACAAGGGAGGAAGCAAUACUGAAAUCUGAAAUUCAACAUGACACAUCCAGCCUUAUUGGUGGCUGGAUGCAACUCCACCUUCGCUCCCCCAGCACUGCACUGUGAACUGAGGAGCAGCUUUACAUACAUGAUCAUUCUACUCCAGGGCUGUACAUCUUUGGCGCUCCUGCAGAUGUUGGACUAUUAAUCCCAUCAUACUUGACCAUUGGCCACUGAGUUAUGGUGUGAACAACUAUUUGUCCAUUACCUCCCCAGAGCUUUUGUUUUUGUUUUGAAGCAACUCAAUACUUUGAGCGAUGUGUCAUCAAUGAAUUGUGAUUGAAAUACUAUUAAAACACACAGACUUUC
Hemicordylus capensis (graceful crag lizard) is the source of this 536-nucleotide long non-coding RNA. RefSeq lists it as uncharacterized. The record is from RefSeq and is a predicted model, not a curated record. NCBI's taxonomy places the organism in Eukaryota, Metazoa, Chordata, Lepidosauria, Squamata, Cordylidae. The transcript has 3 exons.